This is an RNA transcript of Spinacia oleracea (spinach), 2266 nucleotides long. It is a transcript of the gene named protein MOS2, with no coding region annotated. The record is from RefSeq and is a predicted model, not a curated record. Lineage: Eukaryota; Viridiplantae; Streptophyta; Magnoliopsida; Caryophyllales; Amaranthaceae. The transcript is spliced from 3 exons.
UGCUUUCUACCAGUAGAAAUUCCGGCAGUCCGGCUGACCGUAAUCAACUGAAGUCGGUAUUGAGAAGAGGAAAGGUUUUGGGUAUUUUCAACCUUUUCCAGACGAAUUCGAGUUCACUUGCUGUCAGGUUCUUCACUUUCUUUUCUGUUUCCAGAUUAAUCGAAUUAAUUCUUACUCAAUUUUGGGGUUCAUAUUUGAAUUCCGCUUGAUUUUUCAAAUUUUUCACAAUUUUUUUUAUUCUGGGUAUUCUCUCUCUUCCUCCAUUGAAGCACGAUGAAGAAGAUUUCCUUCUCUGUUUCAUCAAAUCAAUCGAACAACAAACCUAAACAUGGCUUAAUUGAUUCUACCUCUCAAAACCCCCAAAUCAAUCGCGAAUCUAUCACUGAAUUCGACCCAUCUAAAGCCCCAACCCUAGAAAAAAACGCCCCCAAAACAUCUGUAAUCCCUCCUAAGCCGAACGAAUGGCGUCCCACCAAGAAGAUGAAGAAUCUCGACCUUCCGCCUAUUCAUUCAGAGGGUAAACCCCUUGAAUUUGAGGUUGAAUCUUCCGAUGUUGCUGCCCCUGAAUCCGAAUCAAACAUUUCGUAUGGGUUGAAUCUUCGGCAGCAAGAUUCGAUCAAUGGUAAGUUUGAUUCCGAUGUUCCGAAUUCAGUUGAUACGAUCAUGCGUAAGAAAUUGAAGUCUGAUUUAGAUAAGUUGCCUGAUGAUGAGGGUUUUGAUCAGUUUGAGGAGGUUCCGGUUGAGGGUUUUGCGGAAGCUUUGUUGGCUGGGUAUGGGUGGAGACAAGGUAUGGGAAUUGGAAAGAGUACUAAGGAGGAUGUCAAGGUUGUUGAGUAUAAGCGGCGCACCGCGAAAGAGGGGUUAGGGUUUACUGAUGAUAAUGCAGCUCCUAAGGCUAAAGGGAAGGAGGGGAGUGGUGGAAGUUUGAAUUUGGAGGUUGGGAAAGAGGUUAGGAUCAUUGGUGGUAGAAAGAUGGGGUUGAAGGGUAGAGUUAUUGAAGUGUUAUCCGGAGGCGAUUCUGUUUUUUUGAGGCUUUCGCGUAGUGAAGAGGAAGUGAAGGUUCGUGUGAAUGAAGUGGCUGAAUUGGGCUCUUUGGAGGAAGAUAAGUGUUUGAAGGAACUCAAGGAGUUGAAGAUUCAAUCUUCUAAACAAGAUUUGAGGGGCAGUGUUAAAAAGGGUAAAGAUUCGUCGAGUGAAAGAAAGGAGAGUAAGAGAGGUAGAGAGGAGGGUAGAAGAGAUGAUGUGGAUGAAGUUAAGCAUGAAAGGAUGCAGGUAGAUGAGAAAAGGACGACUAGUAAAGGAGUUUCUUGGCUUAGGAGUCAUAUUAGGGUUAAAAUUAUUAGCAAGUCAUUCAAAGGUGGGAAAUUUUACUUGAAGAAGGGUGUGGUAAUUGAUGCAGUUGGAGCCAGGACUUGUGAUAUAUCGAUGGAAGAAAGUAGGGAGAUUGUUCAGGAAGUAAAACAGGAGAUAUUGGAAACUGUCCUUCCUAGGAGAGGUGGUCCUGUUCUUGUUCUCUUUGGAAAGCACAAGGGUGUCUAUGGCAGUCUCGUGGAAAGAGAUACAGAUAGGGAAACUGCUGUAGUUCAAGAUGCUGAUACACAGGAGAUGCUCCAUGUCCAGUUUGAACAAAUAGCUGAAUAUGUUGGAGAUCCAAGCGACAUUGGUUACUAGAUAAGGAUGCGGUAUUUAAACCAGUAUGGCAAGUUCACUUGAUUCUCACAUUGAGAGAGGGGAGAGGAGACUAUCCUCAAGAUACUUUUCAUUUCAGAUGUCUGUUCUUUAUCUUAAGCUGAAGGUGUAUGUACUUAAAGGAUGUGUAUUAGAUAGUCCUUCCACUCACCCCGACAACUAUUUCUUUAUCCAAUCGAAGAAGUAUCCAUGCUUUAUUAGAUCUUCAAUUGUCAACUUUGGGUCAGAGGUGACAUUAGGCUCUGGAAUCCUGUGCAAGAUCUCAUCUUCUAAAGUCGGAAUAAGGAUAUCUACAUGAUACUUAUGGCAAAGGGACUUUCUGGUAAAUUGCUCCUGGUAGAGAAACAACCUUUUUGCUCACGAACUGGAAAUAUGUUUGUGAUAGCUUGUUAGCUACUUAGCUGUACUGAUGAUUGUAAGUCCUGAGAGUGGGAUAUGAGUCUUUAAAUGUUUUCAUCUCUGUCCUCGAUCUUUAUUCUACUCUUUUCUAUAUGUUAUCUGACUGGUAAAUAUAUCAAUUAACCAGAGCUUCAUAUCUUCUCUCUGGAUUUGAAAUACCAAGCCGACAUUUCUGGAA